AAUUUGAAAUCUGGCCCCUCCGGGGUCCGAGUUGUAAUUUGCAGAGGGUGCUUCGGGCGAGGUCGCGGUCUAAGUCCAUUGGAACAUGGCGUCCUAUAGGGUGAGAAUCCCGUAUGCGACCGCGGACCGAGCCCAUGUGAAGCCUCUUCGACGAGUCGAGUUGUUUGGGAAUGCAGCUCAAAAUGGGUGGUAUAUUUCAUCUAAAGCUAAAUAUUGGCUGGAGACCGAUAGCGCACAAGUAGAGUGAUCGAAAGAUGAAAAGCACUUUGGAAAGAGAGUCAAACAGUACGUGAAAUUGUUGAAAGGGAAGCGCUUGCAACCAGACCUGCCCGGGGGCGAUCAGCCGCCGUUCUCGGCGGUGCACUCGUGCCCCGAUCAGGCCAGCAUCGGUUCCGGCGGUCGGACAAAGGCCUUGGGAAUGUAGCUCCCCUCGGGGAGUCUUAUAGCCCUCGGCGGAAUACGGCCAGCCGGGACCGAGGACCGCGCUUCGGCUAGGAUGCUGGCGUAAUGGUUCUAAGCGACCC
This 524-nucleotide ribosomal RNA is filed under the name Oropogon granulosus. RNAcentral describes it as "eukaryotic LSU rRNA". It matches the Rfam family "Eukaryotic large subunit ribosomal RNA", at positions 112 to 650 of the family's 3401-position model. The record is from RNAcentral. Lineage: Eukaryota; Fungi; Ascomycota; Lecanoromycetes; Lecanorales; Parmeliaceae.